Molecule: non-coding RNA, 3042 nt
Organism: Pelodiscus sinensis (Chinese soft-shelled turtle)
Lineage: Eukaryota; Metazoa; Chordata; Testudines; Trionychidae
Source: RefSeq, a predicted model, not a curated record
GAGCGCUCGCGCCAAGCACACGCACGCCCCGGCCCCACACUCGCCUUUGUAGCCGAGGGGGCAGUCUCCUCCCUCCCUCCCUCAGCACUAAAUAGCGAACUCCUUGGCAACGUCCAUGAGGCACCAGGCUCAAGAGAGGGGCCUGAGAAAGUACUGCUGACAAACCUCAAGCCAUACAAAAUAGCCCAGGGGUUGGCAACCCACAAAUGGCAUGCAAGCCAAUUCUCAUUGGCACACGAUGCAGGAGUUCAACCUUGCCCCUCCUCCCUCAUGCAGCCGGGAGCCUACGCCAGUGUUCCCUUAACGUGUAUGCUUAUGUGGCGACGCAAAAAAAAAAAACGUAUCUAAGCCCUCCCACCUCUGCAGCAGCACUUGCUUUCCUCCUGCUUCUGGAAGGUAACCAUCAAUGGAGAUACCAGAGUUCAGAGCUACAGGGUAUACAGGAUGACUCACAGAAAAUUGUGAAGAUUAAAAGGUUUGCAUCCAAAAAUACAGAAGAAAGGCUGAAGAAUCACACUGUAACCAGGAAAAUGCACAUUUACAUGAUUGGGGACUCCCUACUAAGAAAAACAUGUAGGCCUUUCACCAGAGCUGAUCUGAAAGACAGAAGGAUAUGCUGAGAGCUAAGAUAUGGGUUGUGGACCUGAGGUUGAAGAGGAUCCCAAUGGGAGCAGGGAAAAAUUCACCAAUUGUUCUUCAUGUGGGAACUAAUUAUACAGCUAGAUUCUUACUGGAAUGUAUCAAGGCAGAUUGUCAGGCUGGGGAAAAUGGGUAAGGAAAUGGUGACUAAUGGAAACCAGAAUAAGGAGGUAGAAAUGACCACAUCCAAGGUGGAAGUAAAAUUCAAAUGACUUAAAGGAAUAAAAUGAGGGGGGGGUUACAAAUAACCUCCAUUCAAAAAUAUUAAAGGAAUUGGGACAUGAAAUUGCCCGUCCAAUAGCAAGAAUUUUUAAUGAAUCUGUAAACUUGUGGAUUGUAUCCUAUGACUGGAGAAUUGCUAAUAUUUUUCCUAUUGUUAAAAUGAGGGCAAAUGAUAGAAGUCAUUUUUGUUAAGUUUUUUAACUUUUAAGCUGAUCAAAGAGAGGCAGAUGUAAUCCUCGAUGCCAUUUUUUGUUCUAUAGUCACAUAGUGACAUCCUUGAAUGCAGAAUAUGUAGAAAAAUGAGAAAUACGGAAUCUUUUGAAAAAGGGUUUGUUUGUUUUUUUUAAAAGAACCGCAUCUAGACAGCACUUUCACUUUCGAAACACCUUUUUUCGAAAGGCCACUGUGAUGCGAUUAUGCAAAUGAAGCGUGGGAUAUUUAAAUCCCCGCUUCAUUUGCACUUUUGAUUUGCCUAAUUUACAUCCCUCUUUCGACAGAGGGAUGUCGUUUAGACAUACCCUAGAUGAGAGGAAAAUUGGUCAGAAUAGCUGUUGCAGAAGCUAUUGCACCAUAAGUGCUCUUCAGGGAUAGGUCCUUCUGUGUACCCAUGUGGACACUUUUUUUCCUAGAGUAAAAGUCAUUUAUUACAGAAUAAGUACUGUAUUCACAAAGCACACUAAUUAUCCAGGAAUAAAGUGAAUUCUAUGCCAGAGGAAAGUGUUCAGAUAGGGAACUGUUUUGAAAUAGCUAGAGCAAAAUAGUUUAUUCUGCAAUAGUUAUUCUAGUGAAUUUCCCCAUGUAGAUAAGAGUAAAAGGUCUCCACAGACUGCUUGAUACCGGGCUGGCUGCAAUUGAGUUUUUGAGUAAAAGCCAAAACAUGUUCUUGCAAAGGUACUUUUCCAGGCUGAUGGCAUUAAGACAGAAGCAAUUUGGCAAGCAGUAGUCGUAAACAUAAUUGCAUUUGGCCAGAAUCCUGUAGUCAGGAAACGUUACAUAGAUGUAGACUGCCACUUUUGCUGUUUUAUCAAUUUUUGCUCAAGGCAACAAUCACAGCUAUGAGCAUAUGGCAAAUAAAAAUAACUAAAGUGAAAGUAUUCUAGAUCCCGUGCCUUCUUGCUGCUUUUUUACCCAAGAAUUAUCCCUCUCAGAAGUCCAUCUGACAUCACAAAAGCUGUAACAGCCUGUACAGAGUAGAAAGACUGAUACAGUCUUAGUUGUUGGAGAAGCAAUUAAUCAUUCAACAUUAAAAGAUUUUAGGUGGAGUGGGAGUGAGGAGAGAAAACUGCUGAAUAUUCCAUUCUUAUAAACUUGCUGUAGCAAGUGGUUAAAGAAAGCUAAUUCUGCAAUCACAGCAGUAGAGUUAGCUCCCUGGUUUAACUGUGGCCAGAGGAGGUUUCAAAUGACUUACGCAAACUAAGGUUUCAAAUAGCACAUGCCUGAAAGAACAUUCUAUUCUACUAAGCUAAUUCCUAAAAUAUGAUCCACAGCCAAUGGUUGAUUAGAGGGAGUCUCACACAUCUACUGUACUUUAUUCAGUGGGUUGACUUAAUUGUUCACACAGAAAUACAUAAGAUGGUUAAUUAACUGCAGAUUGCUUUAAACAGAUUUUUCUUUAAAAAAGAAAACUGAGAAAUCUUUAGACACUUUGUAAAGUUUAUGGGUUCACUUUUUUGUUUCUGUUUUGCUUUCUGAUGUUUCUUGUUCUCUUUUCCCCAGUUACAAUAAGCAGUAGUAAAUUUCAGUCCCCUGCACCAGAGACUGAAAGCUAACUGUCAUUUAUAUGAGAUACCCUGUGCAAGGGCCUCAGAGUGUGUUUGCCAAGAAGUGGCACUGGGGGGGAUUCCAUGCUGCCUCUCAGCAACUUCCACAUCGCAUGUGCUCAGCUUACAAGGAAAAGAGAUUGGCCAAGGCUUCCAGAACUGAGUAGUGAUCUUGAGUGCCUCUAUUUUUGGGUGCCUAACUUGAAAAGAAGGCUGAAGUGUUUAAUGUAUAUUUUGAGUCAAAUCUUCACUAAAAAAAGUUAAUGGUGAACACUUAAUAUUAACAACAAGGGGAAGAAUAGAAGACAGAAUGAGGAAAGUACAGGUUAAAGAAUUUUCAAUAAUAUUUAGCUGUAUUCAAGUUGGCAGAACCUGAUGCAAUUCACCCUAAGGUACUUAAGGAACUAGCUGAAGGAAUUUU